GUCGAACGCUUUGUGGUUCAACUGAUUUGAACAGCUUGGUCUUAUAUGACGAUGGACAUUCCCAAAAAUGGGGAAGGGGUGAGUAACAGGUGGGAAACCUGCGUCUUAGCAGGGGAUAGCAUUUGGAAACAGAUGCUAGUACCGUGAUACAAUAGCAACGGGAUGGUUGCUACUUAAAAGAUGGUUCUGCUAUCACUAAGAGAUGGUCCCGCGGUGCAUUAGUUAGUUGGUGAGGUAAUGGCUCACCAAGACGAUGAUGCAUAACCGAGUUGAGAGACUGAUCGGCCACAAUGGGACUGAGACACGGCCCAUACUCCUACGGGAGGCAGCAGUAGGGAAUCUUCCACAAUGGGCGAAAGCCUGAUGGAGCAACGCCGCGUGUGUGAUGAAGGGUUUCGGCUCGUAAAACACUGUUGUAAGAGAAGAAUGACAUUGAGAGUAACUGUUCAAUGUGUGACGGUAUCUUACCAGAAAGGAACGGCUAACUACGUGCCCAGCA
RNAcentral lists this ribosomal RNA (499 nucleotides) under Weissella cibaria. RNAcentral describes it as "bacterial SSU rRNA". It matches the Rfam family "Bacterial small subunit ribosomal RNA", at positions 61 to 513 of the family's 1533-position model. Lineage: Bacteria; Bacillati; Bacillota; Bacilli; Lactobacillales; Lactobacillaceae. The record is from RNAcentral.